RNAcentral lists this ribosomal RNA (490 nucleotides) under uncultured bacterium. RNAcentral's name for it is "partial 16S ribosomal RNA". It matches the Rfam family "Bacterial small subunit ribosomal RNA", at positions 28 to 507 of the family's 1533-position model. The record is from RNAcentral.
GAUGAACGCUAGCGGCAGGCCUAAUACAUGCAAGUCGAACGGGAUCCAGAUCAAAGCUUGCUUUGGUCUGGUGAGAGUGGCGCACGGGUGCGUAACGCGUGAGCAACCUACCCUUGUCAGGGGGAUAGCCCGGCGAAAGUCGGAUUAAUACCGCAUGACAUCAUUGAGAGGCAUCUUUCGAUGAUCAAAGAUUUAUCGGACAAGGAUGGGCUCGCGUGACAUUAGCUAGUUGGUAAGGUAACGGCUUACCAAGGCUGCGAUGUCUAGGGGCUCUGAGAGGAGAAUCCCCCACACUGGUACUGAGACACGGACCAGACUCCUACGGGAGGCAGCAGUAAGGAAUAUUGGUCAAUGGACGGAAGUCUGAACCAGCCAUGCCGCGUGCAGGAAGACGGCCCUAUGGGUUGUAAACUGCCUUUAUACGGGAACAAACGUCGGUACGUGUACCGGUCUGAGUGUACCGUAAGAAUAAGGAUCGGCUAACUCCGUG